UAGUAAUGGCAGGUCAGCAUACUGCCGUGAAUACGUUCCCGGGCCUUGUACACACCGCCCGUCACACCAUGAGAGUUGGGGAUACCCGAAGCCUGUGAGCCAACUAUAUAGAGGCAGCAGUCGAAGGUAGAAUCAAUGAUUGGGGUGAAGUCGUAACAAGGUAUC
This 165-nucleotide ribosomal RNA is filed under the name uncultured bacterium. Its description in RNAcentral is "partial 16S ribosomal RNA". It matches the Rfam family "Bacterial small subunit ribosomal RNA", at positions 1336 to 1500 of the family's 1533-position model. The record is from RNAcentral.